AAAACCGACCUUAUUACACAAUACCACACCACGACCAGCUCACUCUGCACACACGCAAUACCCCAAGCAGGCUCCAAACAGAUGCACAAUACUCUUUCCUGGUCCUUGUAAGAAAACACAUACUACAUUCCCUGAACACACACUCUCUACAAACACUACAUCACCUACACACACACACACACACACACACACACACUAUAGCCUGUAUACACACACUUGCUACAUCCCCUAAACACACAUUCUCUAAAGCCCCUAGCCACAUAUGCAUUACAUUACACCACAAACACAACACGACUAAAACCGACCUUAUUACACAAUACCACACCACGACCAGCUCACUCUGCACACACGCAAUACCCCAAGCAGGCUCCAAACACAUGCACAAUACUCUUUCCUGGCCCUUUUGUCUCCUGGUAUCCAUUUAUAGAGACACCAGAGACAAGUUGCAAG
Molecule: non-coding RNA, 450 nt
Organism: Pelobates cultripes (western spadefoot toad)
Lineage: Eukaryota; Metazoa; Chordata; Amphibia; Anura; Pelobatidae
Source: the annotation of a GenBank genome assembly